CUUCCCGUUUACUUGCUGCUCUAGUCUCUCAGUAGCAGGAGCAGUUAUUCGCAUGGGAUAAAAUAAUAUCGGGCAAUUGUAAAUUGAGAUUUUCUCUCUUCUGCAUGGUCUAGACAUUG
Microtus oregoni (creeping vole) is the source of this 119-nucleotide small nucleolar RNA. RefSeq annotates it as small nucleolar RNA SNORA20. The transcript has a single exon. The record is from RefSeq and is a predicted model, not a curated record. NCBI's taxonomy places the organism in Eukaryota, Metazoa, Chordata, Mammalia, Rodentia, Cricetidae.